This 458-nucleotide ribosomal RNA is filed under the name uncultured bacterium. Its description in RNAcentral is "partial 16S ribosomal RNA". It matches the Rfam family "Bacterial small subunit ribosomal RNA", at positions 338 to 795 of the family's 1533-position model. The record is from RNAcentral.
CCUACGGGUGGCAGCAGUGGGGAAUAUUGCACAAUGGGGGAAACCCUGAUGCAGCGACGCCGCGUGAGUGAAGAAGUAAUUCGUUACGUAAAGCUCUAUCAGCAGGGAAGAAAUACUGACCUUACGGUCAGCAGACGGUACCUGAGUAAGAAGCCCCGGCUAACUACGUGCCAGCAGCCGCGGUAAUACGAAGGUAGCAAGCGUUGUCCGGAAUUACUGGGCGUAAAGGGGGCGACGGUGGGCGCUUAAGUCAGGUGUGAAAAAUCCGGGCACAAACUGGAGACUGCACUUGAAACUGGGUGGCGUGAGGGCAGGAGAGGAAAGUGGAAUUCCGAGUGUAGCGGUGAAAUGCGAAGAUAUUAGGAGGAACACCAGUGGCGAAGGCGGCUUACUGGACUGUAACUGACGUUGAGGCUCGAAGGCGUGGGGAGCAAACAGGAUUAGAUACCCUUGUAGUC